ACGACAAGUAGGGCGGGACACGAGAAAUCCUGUCUGAAUAUGGGGGGACCAUCCUCCAAGGCUAAAUACUACUGACUGACCGAUAGUGAACUAGUACCGUGAGGGAAAGGUGAAAAGCACCCCGACGAGGGGAGUGAAACAGUUCCUGAAACCGGAUGCCUACAAGCAGUCGGAGCUCGUCUUCGGAUGGGUGACGGCGUACCUUUUGUAUAAUGGGUCAGCGAGUUGGUGUGCCGAGCAAGCUUAAGCCGUUAGGUGAAGGCGCAGCGAAAGCGAGUCUGAACAGGGCGUUGAGUUCG
RNAcentral lists this ribosomal RNA (299 nucleotides) under Aplanochytrium sp. PBS07. RNAcentral describes it as "partial Bacterial large subunit ribosomal RNA". It matches the Rfam family "Bacterial large subunit ribosomal RNA", at positions 405 to 703 of the family's 2925-position model. Lineage: Eukaryota; Bigyra; Thraustochytrida; Thraustochytriidae. The record is from RNAcentral.